CCUGUGUGCAGCACUUAGUGUGCACGGAGCCACUAAUCACCCACGCAGUGCAGAGAUGCUUCAGCGGAGGGCAUAAUCAAGCAAAUAAAUGACAGAAUGCUUUUUAUUUCAUGUCGACGUGCAAUUUAUGUAUAGUUGACCGGGAAAUUAAAGCAGCGAUCACUUGGACUAUUCCGUAGCACCCCUUUCACAGUGGUACAUCCCUCCAGGUAACCAUUCACCAGUCUUGUACAGUAGAGCGGGACAUUACGUUUACUCUCAGCGGAAUUCACCCGAGAAGGCAUCAGUUCCUGCACUGCACUGGUCUUCACCACGAUUAGUAUAAGGUGGAGUAAUGCACGAAUGGAUAAAAAGGAGUGAGAGGUUAUCAGCUGUUGAGGAGCAAAUGGAGAUCCGUGUCCAGGGGAGUGAGGCUAUUGCGAGUGUGAAAGGUUGUCCAGGAAGUAACUAAGAAGACAUGAACAGAGAGGUGGUGAUCCUCGGUGGAGUGAUGAAGUAGAGCAGCCAGCACCCCAAGUAGAGCAGGCACUGUGGAAAAAUAGUUAGACUCAACCAGACCAUUACAAAGUAUGGCCUGGAGGAUUUUCAUCUCAAGGUGCAAGAACAUUCUUAAUGACUGUACACGGCAGCUGCUGAUGGACGAUGUUGGGCCAGAUGUGCUACAGUUAGCGUUAAGGAGGUUGGAGACAAUGCAGAGAAGCCUUCAGUGGGCAAGAGGAAGACUGAUCAAUGUAACUGCAGCAGAUCAACUUCUGCGUGACUUGGCUGAAUUGAUUCAGGAUGUCGAACUGUCUACUCAGCAUGGGCAACAAGGCUGUUUUGGAUACCAGGCACCAGUGGUUUUCAACAGAGGUAGAGGUAGAUCCCUUUACCUUAUCACUCGGGAACAGCUUUCAUUCCUGAAGUCAUGUGGAUUCACUGCACCUCAGAUGGCUGAUAUUUUGAGUGUUUC
Long non-coding RNA from Oreochromis aureus, 952 nucleotides. The record is from Ensembl. Lineage: Eukaryota; Metazoa; Chordata; Actinopteri; Cichliformes; Cichlidae.